This 497-nucleotide ribosomal RNA is filed under the name uncultured bacterium. RNAcentral describes it as "partial 16S ribosomal RNA". It matches the Rfam family "Bacterial small subunit ribosomal RNA", at positions 28 to 507 of the family's 1533-position model. The record is from RNAcentral.
GAUGAACGCUGGCGGCGUGCCUAAUACAUGCAAGUCGAGCGAACGGACGAGAAGCUUGCUUCUCUGAUGUUAGCGGCGGACGGGUGAGUAACACGUGGAUAACCUACCUAUAAGACUGGGAUAACUUCGGGAAACCGGAGCUAAUACCGGAUGAUAUUUUGAACCGCAUGGUUCAAAAGUGAAAGACGGUCUUGCUGUCACUUAUAGAUGGAUCCGCGCUGCAUUAGCUAGUUGGUAAGGUAACGGCUUACCAAGGCAACGAUGCAUAGCCGGCCUGAGAGGGUGAUCGGCCACACUGGAACUGAGACACGGUCCAGACUCCUACGGGAGGCAGCAGUAGGGAAUCUUCCGCAAAGGGCGAAAGCCUGACGGAGCAACGCCGCGUGAGUGAUGAAGGUCUUCGGAUCGUAAAACUCUGUUAUUAGGGAAGAACAUAUGUGUAAGUAACUGUGCACAUCUUGACGGUACCUAAUCAGAAAGCCACGGCUAACUACGUG